AGUGAACGCUGGCGGUAGGCCUAACACAUGCAAGUCGAACGGCAGCACAGUAAGAGCUUGCUCUUACGGGUGGCGAGUGGCGGACGGGUGAGGAAUACAUCGGAAUCUACUUUUUCGUGGGGGAUAACGUAGGGAAACUUACGCUAAUACCGCAUACGACCUACGGGUGAAAGCAGGGGAUCUUCGGACCUUGCGCGAUUGAAUGAGCCGAUGUCGGAUUAGCUAGUUGGCGGGGUAAAGGCCCACCAAGGCGACGAUCCGUAGCUGGUCUGAGAGGAUGAUCAGCCACACUGGAACUGAGACACGGUCCAGACUCCUACGGGAGGCAGCAGUGGGGAAUAUUGGACAAUGGGCGCAAGCCUGAUCCAGCCAUACCGCGUGGGUGAAGAAGGCCUUCGGGUUGUAAAGCCCCUUUGUUGGGAAAGAAAAGCAGCAGGUUAAUACCCCGCUGUUCUGACGGUACCCAAAGAAUAAGCACCGGCUAACUUCG
RNAcentral lists this ribosomal RNA (490 nucleotides) under uncultured bacterium. RNAcentral's name for it is "partial 16S ribosomal RNA". It matches the Rfam family "Bacterial small subunit ribosomal RNA", at positions 29 to 505 of the family's 1533-position model. The record is from RNAcentral.